This 100-nucleotide microRNA precursor is filed under the name Musa acuminata subsp. malaccensis (wild Malaysian banana). Its description in RNAcentral is "mir-172 microRNA precursor family". It matches the Rfam family "mir-172 microRNA precursor family". From Rfam's summary of the family: mir-172 has been experimentally verified in Arabidopsis thaliana. This family is thought to target mRNAs coding for APETALA2-like transcription factors. The record is from Rfam by way of RNAcentral. Lineage: Eukaryota; Viridiplantae; Streptophyta; Magnoliopsida; Zingiberales; Musaceae.
ACGUUUGCAAGUGUAGCAUCAUUAAGAUUCACAUAGUUCGAGCGUCUGUCUCUGCUCUAAUUUGAAGUGAGAAUCUUGAUGAUGCUGCACCAGCAAUAGG